RNAcentral lists this ribosomal RNA (486 nucleotides) under uncultured bacterium. RNAcentral describes it as "partial 16S ribosomal RNA". It matches the Rfam family "Bacterial small subunit ribosomal RNA", at positions 30 to 507 of the family's 1533-position model. The record is from RNAcentral.
AUUGAACGCUGGCGGCAUGCCUUACACAUGCAAGUCGAACGGCAGCACGGGUGCUUGCACCUGGUGGCGAGUGGCGAACGGGUGAGAAAUACAUCGGAACAUGUCCUGUAGUGGGGGAUAGCCCGGCGAAAGCCGGAUUAAUACCGCAUACGAUCUACGGAUGAAAGCGGGGGACCUUCGGGCCUCGCGCUAUAGGGUUGGCCGAUGGCUGAUUAGCUAGUUGGUGGGGUAAAGGCCUACCAAGGCGACGAUCAGUAGCUGGUCUGAGAGGACGACCAGCCACACUGGGACUGAGACACGGCCCAGACUCCUACGGGAGGCAGCAGUGGGGAAUUUUGGACAAUGGGCGAAAGCCUGAUCCAGCAAUGCCGCGUGUGUGAAGAAGGCCUUCGGGUUGUAAAGCACUUUUGUCCGGAAAGAAAUCCUUGGCCCUAAUACGGUCGGGGGAUGACGGUACCGGAAGAAUAAGCACCGGCUAACUACGUG